UACAGAGGGUGCAAGCGUUGUUCGGAAUUACUGGGCGUAAAGCGCGCGCAGGCGGAUCCUGUAAGUCGGAAGUGAAAUUUCGGGGCUCAACUCCGAAGCUGCUUCUGAUACUGCGGAUCUGGGGACCGGUAGAGGCUGGUGGAAUUGCAGGUGUAGCGGUGGAAUGCGUAGAGAUCUGCAAGAACACCCGUGGCGAAGGCGGCCAGCUGGGCCGGGUCCGACGCUGAGGCGCGAAAGCUAGGGGAGCAAACAGG
This 254-nucleotide ribosomal RNA is filed under the name uncultured bacterium. RNAcentral's name for it is "partial 16S ribosomal RNA". It matches the Rfam family "Bacterial small subunit ribosomal RNA", at positions 524 to 776 of the family's 1533-position model. The record is from RNAcentral.